Non-coding RNA from Megalopta genalis, 1304 nucleotides. The record is from RefSeq and is a predicted model, not a curated record. NCBI's taxonomy places the organism in Eukaryota, Metazoa, Arthropoda, Insecta, Hymenoptera, Halictidae.
GCUAUUUUUAAAAGCGUUCGAAUCCUCAUCGAACUGAUUGAUUGCGAUACUUAUUUCAUAAUCGAGCCUUCCGCAACACAGAUCGUGGUUUUUCGCGAUCACAUCCGAAAAUGGACUUUAAAUCAAUAAGUCUAUGUCACUGCUACCGUGUGGAAGAAUUCGGAAGCUUCUUGAACCAUUGUACAAUUUUAUACGGAAUAUGUAUCAAAACAUUUAACAAUGAUUCCCUGUAAAUUCGCAUAAUUCCCCAAUUAAGAAAAAAUCAAGAAUUUAACCUACAUUUGUUGCUUGCUUAAAUUUUGGCGCGCGACUGUAGGAAAUACAAAAGUAGAUCAGGUCAAUGAACAUUGUACUAACAAUGCAAUUGAAAAUGGAAAAUGCCAUAAUUAUUGCAUGUAAAGGAAAGUGGGGUCUUCGUUCGCUUCCUGAAGAUUCAAAUGAAAUUUUUUAACAGCUCUGUAGAAUACGCUCUACAUGUUCAUUUGUUAAUCAAAACGGUGAAACCCAAAGUCAUUGAUUGCGUGGAUGGAUCAUGACCUUAAUUACUUAAGUAUUCAGCUUAACUGACCAGUAUCAUAAAGAAUAGUUAAUACAAACUCGCAUGUCAUCGAAUACAUACGCAUAACACGAAAUUAUUUUUAUUUCUAGAAAAUUCUCAAUUUCUUACUAGUGGAUUACGAGAUCUCAUUAAAAUACCACCAUGAAGAUCCAUAAGAAAAAGGAACUGCAGUAAAACCAGUUAAUAUGCCCCAGUUACAGUGAAGAAUCGCAUACCGUUACAAGAACUGUUUUUAACGUUAUGAUUUUUAUCGGGAGAGAGACAAUUUGUCAAGAGAGAAACACACCGUCAACCGACUUUUUAAUUUAUUAUUUUUAUCCUUUUUAGGGUCGCACAACAAUUUCACAAAUUCUUCAAAACUUCGUACAAGAUUAUAAUGAGGUCACAAUAUUAUCGGUCAUUUCAUUCGUCUUGAUCAUGGCUAUAACUUAAUGGUAACAUGGAGUCCUUGAAAUCUCGGAAACGGUGACCUUGACAAAAAUUUGGUGCCAAGAAAGACUGAUUGGAUAGUCAUGUCUGGAGAUAAGUGAAUGGUUUACUAUUAAAAGGCAACGGCUAGCGGAAACCGUUCAAUGACCAUCGGCGCUGCAAUACGACGGUCCACAUAACAACACAGAAUCUAAGAACCACGGGCUGUUGCACACUUUCUAUUGCAGUCGACGUAACCACGCAGGAGUAACGCACUCUAAUAUAUGUAAUUAUUGUCCAUUCUGCAACAUUUAUCUGGACUUCUUAGAGUUCAUUC